GACGAACGCUGGCGGCGUGCUUAACACAUGCCAGUCGAACGGAAAGGCCUCUUUCGGGGGGUACUCGAGUGGCGAACGGGUGAGUAACACGUGAGUAACCUGCCCCUUACUCUGGGAUAUCUUCAGGAAACUGGGGCUAAUACCGGAUAUGAGCUCCUGCUCCAUGGUGGGGGUUGGAAAGUUUCGGCGGUUGGGGGUGGACUCGCGGCUUAUCAGCUUGUUGGUGGGGUAGUGGCUUACCAAGGCUUUGUCGGGUAGCCGGCCUGAGAGGGUGACCGGCCAAAAUGGGGCUGGGAUAAGGGCCAGGCUCCCACGGGGGGCAGGAGGGGGGAAUAUUGCACAAUGGGUGGAAGCCUGAUGCAGCAACGCCGGGUGCGGGAUGACGGGCUUCGGGUUGUAAACCGCUUUCGCUCAUGACGAAGCUUUGUGUGACGGUAGUGGGUAAAGAAGCACCGGCUAACUACGUG
This 467-nucleotide ribosomal RNA is filed under the name uncultured bacterium. RNAcentral's name for it is "partial 16S ribosomal RNA". It matches the Rfam family "Bacterial small subunit ribosomal RNA", at positions 28 to 507 of the family's 1533-position model. The record is from RNAcentral.